AGCGAACGCUGGCGGUAUGCUUAACACAUGCAAGUCGAGCGCGAAAGUGACUUCGGUCAUGAGUAGAGCGGCGGACGGGUGAGUAACACGUGGAUAAUCUGCCUUUAGGACUGGGAUAACCCUGGGAAACUAGGGCUAAUACCGGAUAAGACCACAGGUUCCAUGGAACCAGGGGUAAAAGGCGGCCUUCGGGCUGUCGCCGAAAGAUGAGUCCGCGUCCCAUCAGGUAGUUGGUGAGGUAACGGCUCACCAAGCCGAAGACGGGUAGCCGACCUUAGCGGGUGAUCGGCCACACGGGGACUGAGACACGGCCCCGACUCCUACGGGAGGCAGCAGUGGGGAAUCUUGGGCAAUGGGCGCAAGCCUGACCCAGCAAUACCGCGUGAGGGAUGAAGGCCUUCGGUCGU
This 407-nucleotide ribosomal RNA is filed under the name uncultured bacterium. RNAcentral describes it as "bacterial SSU rRNA". It matches the Rfam family "Bacterial small subunit ribosomal RNA", at positions 29 to 426 of the family's 1533-position model. The record is from RNAcentral.